CCAGUUUGUGGUUCACAAUGUAAUAACAAUAUUAAUAACAUAUACAAUAACUGAUCAUUACAGGGUGCCAAAACCAUCGUGUGACAGGUUGUUGGGGAACAGGCUGUUUAAAUAGUCUGACAGAACCACUCACAUGUUACUUAUUAAUUACAAACAGGAAAAUGUGCCUUUACAUGGUGAGAUCUGGCGUUAUGUGCCUCCUGAGGGGAUGCAGUGGGAGGUGCACAACGUCA
Molecule: long non-coding RNA, 233 nt
Filed under: Pan troglodytes (chimpanzee)
Lineage: Eukaryota; Metazoa; Chordata; Mammalia; Primates; Hominidae
Description: long non-coding RNA NONPTRT011589
Source: RNAcentral